Molecule: non-coding RNA, 624 nt
Organism: Paralichthys olivaceus (Japanese flounder)
Lineage: Eukaryota; Metazoa; Chordata; Actinopteri; Pleuronectiformes; Paralichthyidae
Source: RefSeq, a predicted model, not a curated record
GUCACCUGCGUCCAAUUAACGUGCCUAGCACCUGUGAGUUAGCUUCCUGUUAGCUUCCUGUUAGCUUCCUUCUCUUUUGUGUUCCUGCAUGAAGUCUGACCUUUGGACACUUAAGCGGUGCCAGUCGUUGCACGUGAGGAUCCGCAGGAUGAGCGUGGCGAGAGCUAAACUAUUAGACAAGAAUUCUGGAGGCCCGGCUGUGGAUCGACGGCUACCCACUGUGAUCAUCAAGCUUCUCACCUGAAUUGCUGUAGGCGUUCAGUCGAUACAGUCGGUGUGGGUGGUGGAUUCAGGGCCUUCAGGAGCUGUGCAGAGUGGAGAUGAAGAGGGCCCAGGAGAGAGGAGCGAAGAAAGGGGAUUAUAAGAAAUGGCGGCAUGCUUUCUCUCUCAUGCAUCAAGCAAGUCGGGCAUAAAAUAGUCUGGUCGGAUGGGUGAUCAUGAACUGGCAGCGACAGGAAGGUCUACCAGAGCUAAAUGGAUGCCCAGACUCCACUUUUUUAUCUUCCCCCCACCUCACGUUACAGUCGUAAUUUAUGGUAAUAAUAUCCAUGGAAACAUUGGCGGGAAAAGAAGCAGAUGAGAAACGGGCGUCCUGGCAGCAUGUUUACAUUGCCUGCAUGAUUG